CUCUCACAAGAGGUAAGUCUUUGUUGUAUGAUUUGGUUAAAAAAGAAUUAAUAAGUUGAUACUCUGCUUCUGUUACCUUCCAGAACUUUCCGAAAAUAGUUUCUCACUUUGAUUUCAUACAAUUAAAAAUGAGUCUUCCGUUGGUGGAGGCAAAUUAAAAGUUCAAGAGUAAACUGAAACACUGCUGAGAUAGGCUACAUACUACAUGGAACCAGAUCCCAAUCGAGAAAUUCCAACUAAAUAGUCCAGGAACUUUCCGAAAAUAGUUUCUCACUUUGAUUUCAUACAAUUAGAAAUGAGUCCUCCAUUGGUGGAGGCAAGUUAAAAGUUCAAGAGUAAUCGGAAACACUGAGAUAGGCUACAUACUACAAAGAACCAGAUCCCAAUCGAGAAAUUCCAACUCAAUAGUCCAUGACUUAAACUUGAAUGGUGAAUGUGAGCACCUGUAUCAUUCUGGGUUCUGCCAAGAAGACCCCAAUACCAACUCCCAUGGACUGACCAUUUCAUCGUGGAUCUGGGAAUGGAAUACUGUCAUUCAGCAGAGAAUGGUCCAGCCAUGAACAAACGAUCCUCAGUACCCACUCCAGUAGUACUUGCACGGAAAGAACGUCGGAGUCACUCACCAUUUGAACGUGACACCUGUUUGGCGAAAAGGGCUACCUGGCCGUGUUGUAGCCAUCGCCAGUAUAUCAGCAUACGACACUUUUGUGAUUGACAUCACAUUUGGUUGAAGCUAACAAGUAGCAAGCUACAAAAGCAUCACAUCAGUUUAUGUGAAUUAAAACUUAAAAGAGCUUUCUCAUCAUUUAUAACCAAGAUGCAGCGUGAAGAGAUACAGCUGGAAGCCGCUUUGGAAGCUUUGCUUCAGAGAAUUAUUGACCUGAAGACUUCUAUUCGAACUCUGUUAUUUCGAUUGGAAAACGAGUAUGGAUCCCUCAGUUGGCCUUCUG
Daphnia pulicaria is the source of this 950-nucleotide long non-coding RNA. RefSeq lists it as uncharacterized. The record is from RefSeq and is a predicted model, not a curated record. NCBI's taxonomy places the organism in Eukaryota, Metazoa, Arthropoda, Branchiopoda, Diplostraca, Daphniidae. The transcript has 5 exons.